GUGAGGGGGCGGGGGCGGGGCCGGUCCCGGCUGCGCCGGGAGAUAAAAAAUGGGAGGAAGAAAUCUUCCAAAACCAGCCCUUUCCCUCAGGAGGAACAGCUGCUACGUUCCCUUACAACCAAGAACACAGCUCAAAAGGACUAGGCUAAUGCUCCAGUACUGAUCAGAGUCCAUCCUGCUCCAGGCAAGUGUGAUUUCCAUCCACUGCUCUCACACUGACAAUGGAUGACAUGAAAGCAUGGGCACUAAUGCUGCCUAGAACAUUCAGGAUUUAUUACUUUCCACUCUAGUGUUCUAAUUAGGUAGAAGCAGAAUCUACAGAGCUGGUUUGGUUUGGGGUUUUAUUGUGGAUGGUGGCAGGAGAAGGGGGGAGCAUCAAUGAUCAAAUUCCCUGAAUUCUCCAUUUUGAGUCAUCUUACAUCUUCCUGUUUUAUUGUAGCUGGGCACUGUAAUGGUCCCAGGAUAUCUGACAGCAGUGAUUUUGUGGUUUGCUUUAAUCCAUUAGUCUCUCAUACAUCAGACUGCUCUACCCCUUGUUCUAACCCCUCUAGUGCCUUUGAAAGCUUGAAAAAGAGUGAUUGUGCUCCUGUUCCAUUCGAUCUGGUGCGUGCCAAAACAGGUUGCCAGGCCGUGGAUUUUGUUGACUCUAGAAGUGAAGUGACAGAUAAAGGAGUCCAUAAAGUCUGCAGAAGCCCAGGGAAGACAGAAGGAGGGAUAUUGGCCAGAGAUAGAUAAAAUAAGAAUACAUCUCCUGCAGAAGCUGCAAACACGAGAUCUGGAAAUGCAUCAGAGGAAAAAAAAUCACAAGCAGAAUAAAUGUUUCUGUGGUCAGCUGAACUAACAAAGGCAGUUUUCUCAGAGCCUUGUUCCUUUCCUCCCCAGAAUGACUCUGGCACCAUUCACAGUCACUGUGAUACCCCAGCAGAGAGGGAGAGAUGGCUUGUGCCCCGUGGUUCAGCAGUUUGGCCUGUCUCUGUUUAGGGGGGACGUUUCUUUGAGCUGCUGUUGUCUACUCAGCUGAUGAUUUUAGAAAGUGUGUCCUGGCAUCACUAUGUUUGGGUGUGUUAUUCCACCAAUUUUCUCUGAAAAUGAACCUUCACGUAAACCUUCUUUCUUUAAAAAAGUAGGCUGAAACGAAAUUGUAGAGUGGUGUCACACUUAACUCAGCAUAGAAUAUAAUAAACCCCAGCAGAGAGAAAGCAAACUGUGAGUGAGCUAGAAGAAGCAGGAUUAACCAAUUGUCUGUGCAGUUUGAGAUGGUGUUGUUGGUGGUGUUGGACCCAGGCUGUGUUCAUCAGGCUCUCAGGGAAGUGGGCACAUUGGACAAAGCAAAGUUAGAUUACAGCCUGUCAGCUGUAAUCCAAACGUACUGCCUUGCCUCAGCUGCUGUCCCAGCAUCAGUGUCCCUUAGAGGACAGGACAGGUUUCAAGGGAUGUAUGCUUCUUCUGAAAAGAAGCAAAUUUCACCUCUCUGAGUGGUGAAAGUCACCGUGAGAAGCACAAUCUGCUGUGUGUACUCAGCCUGGGACAAAGCAAAUGCUUCUCAGUGUGCAUCAAUAGCUGCAUGCUGUGAAAUAUGAAAGUAAGUCAGCUUAUGGCCUUCUUUAGAGCUUACUUUAAAAGCUGCUUCUAAACUACAAGAUUCAUGUGAACAAAACAAGUCAGUGCCUCAGGAAGGCUCCUUAAGUGUCUGUGACAAGGAGCUGUAGCAUUAGGCAGGUAUGCAGAAACAUACAUUCAGACAUGCUGCAGUGAGCAUCUCCCUGACUGCACACCUCUGUGCCUGUGCCUAGUCUUGGUAAGGGAUGAAAGGCUACAGGGAGCCAAGAUCCUAGACUGCUCUUUUUAAAUAAUUUUUUUGGUGUUUAUGAUGGAGUCAUAAAAAUUAUUUUUUAUAAUAAAAACAUCUUUCUUGAUGUACUCACUCAGCCAUAACUGCAGAAGUAGUCUUCUUUUUCAGAUAACAAACUGAGACAUUGUAUAGCCUCAGAAAUAAUUGUAGGUCAUAUUUCCUGAAAACCCUAGUUUAGAGUGGUAUGAACUUAAAUUAUCAGAAAGUUAUAUUUUGAACUCGAUAUUUGUAAUCAAUUUUAUAUAAUUUAAUGCACUGAUAUAUUAAUGUAUUCCCAUUCACACAGUGAAGGUUCUUUUCUUACCAGAAGAAAAUUUUCAAGACCUCACACAGAAAGUAAUUUAGCGUGAAAAGCACUAACAAUUUCCCUUCCACAGCCGGCUGACCUAGCAGCUUUCCUUGGGGUUGCUCCACCCCUUCUUCAUUCUGGGGAAUAAUGGAAGUAAUGUUUACAGCUGCAGUGCUGGAGGCAGUACCUGUAUAUUUCUUUCACCAUGUAUUUUCUUUUACAUCCAGGAUAGUCUUCUAUUUCACCUUCACACCUCCUCCCGUCUUAAAUUGGAAACAGUCAUUCAUUUUUCAUUUUGUAGAUGAAAACUAGAGUAAAAGAGAAAGGCAAGAAACCAGAACUGUUCUUGUAUUUCACUGUGGAUCUUCCCCCUGGCUUUGCUGCUAAGUAAUGGUGUGACACCAUUAGUUGUGGGAGCAACGAAGUUUCUGUCAACUACUUUUUCAAGGAAAGCUCAAAAAUUACCCCCAAGGCAGAUGUGGCCAGGACAGAGCACGAGAGAUGGGGGGAGAAGCACAGGGCCAGAACUGGCACUCUGCCAUGCAGAGAGAGGGAAGUGGGAAGGUGGCAGUGUCCUACAUCUAACCCUACUCCUUGAGCUGUGAUACCUAAUGUUCAUUUCUGCUGUCAGCAUUUCAGGAGUUUAAUAUAUUCAACUUAAAAACUUUAAACAGUUUGUUACAUAAUGCCACAGAAUAGCUUUGUCCUACUGUUUUGGCUUGGACUGAACAAUGGCACGUUGCUGGGUGCAGAGCUCUGUGGAUUUCAUGAAAUUCAUGUCUUCUGACUAAUGCAGUGGGAGCCAGUGUUCACAGCAUUCCUCUGGGUGUGACUCCCCAGGAUAACUAGGUUUUAAGUUCAGAUCUCAUCACAUUUUCUUUAAACUGAUAUGUUUGUUCCAAGGACAGACCUUGUUUUGCUGAACUUGCUUUGGAAUUUCAGAAAUUUACUCCAGAUUGUUUCAGUUUAUGAACGUGUUUGUAUGCAUUCAGAGAGUGAAAGAAGCUACCAUUGAGACUGGAAAGGGUAACUGUUUUUGUUUUUGUUUGUUUGUGUUUAGAGGCUUGAAGACUAAGACUUUUCUUGGUAAACUUUCUUUCUAUUUUAGAUUUUAAAACAAAAAAAAUUGUUAAGAAAUUUUCAAUGUUGGCAGGCCUCUAAUUAUAAUAAAUAUGGCCCUCUCAAAACCAUAGAAAAUCACAGUUUCCAAAAACCCAACAGAAAAUAGGAUAGAUAGAGUCAGUAGCUACUGGAGGAAACGUUUUUAGACACUCAGAGUUUUAUUACAUCGAAAAGUUCUUUGCAUGUAACAUCUAAGAAAGGAAAAUUUUGGAUUUGUUUUGAUUUUUUAUUUGAUUAUCAUUCUCUGGAGCAAGAGUAAAUAAUUUUACAUGGGAGAGGAGAAAUCAGUAAGCAUGUUAAAUGACAUUGCAUUGCAGUUCAGCAGGGGUCCUGGUUUGGCAGUGGCUGCACUACAUCUCCUCAUGCUGCUCUGCACAGGUGUUUCUAACCAUGAUCUAGGAGUGUCUUCUUCCUUGGGAGGAAAUGUGGCUCAGUCUCAGCUGUGCAGGGGCAUACUGCACAGCUUGUGUUGUGCCAGCAAAGAUAACCAGUUUGUUUUCUGGGGUUUUCAACUGGUACUGGUCUCACUGAAUAAUACAGCUCCUCAGCCCAAUUCAAGGCAGAAGUGUGAUCUGUACAGAAAAGCAUACCAAAAGGCAUGAAGAUGCUUACUUAAAGAGUGCUACAACAAGAAAAGAAAAAUGUCCAGUUUUAUGAUGUGUCCGUGUGUAAAACCACUAUGAAGGGCUCAAACCCGAGGAUCUUUGAUCCCACAGGCAGAUGAGAGCUCACCACUGAACAUAUGGAGUAAGGCCGUGGCUGCCAGCAUAUUGCAGGAACUUGGACAGAAAUUGCAGCUCCUUGCUGGGUGUGAGACUGGUGACAUGCUAACCUGUUGCUGGAGGGAGCUCAGUGAGGGGAUUGAUUACCAUAAUUACCCACGAAGUCACUAGUGUACAAAAGUGUGGGAACCAGGUGAAGCCAGGUCUCAGAGGAGGUUAAAAGUGGUGCACUUGAAUCCAAAUGUACAGAGUGUGAAAUCACUGCCAUCUGAAUAGAACAAUGAAAAAGAAGCUUUGCUUUACCAGCCUGCACUUCAAAGGAAAAAAGAAAACCUGAGACGGCACCAAACAUGUCUCUCGGAAGUAAAGCUCCUGCUGUGCAAACUGAUGCCAGUCAGGCACCCAUCAGAAUCAGCUUCUCACUCUCAUCCGACAUCUGUGAAGAAAGAGCAGCAGCAUAACAGUGAUGCUUAAUCAGGAAGGAGGUCUGGUGACUAAUAUAAAUGAAUGGUCAGAGAAUGGAAAUGGCCUUGGGAUGGCAGGCAUGCCCAGCCAGGUAUAGCACAGGCUUUCUGUUUUACUGAAUAGUAAAAUCAAAUCAGAGAAGCUGCCUCUGGCUGGGCUCCAUGUAAAUAAAAGAAGGAAUGUGCUGUAUGCUGUUAAUUCAGAGUGAGAAAUCUAAACUAAGGCUGGACAAUGAUGGUUCCAAUGCAAGCACUGCUGGGACAAACUGUGGGUGACAUCCCAGGCUGCUUAAUCUACUGUGCUUCACAGAAUUAUGGGAAAGGAAGGAAAGAUGUGCAGCUGAAGUAAUCAUCAGAUUCCCUAUCUGCCACACCUGGAGUAUGAUCACCUCACUGACAAUCAAAUGUCCGCUAAGGAGCAGAUCAAAACAGUCUGUCUCAUCUUCAAAAACAAACAAGGACCCUUGUGAAGAAAAAACAUAGCAGCUAUGUGCAGGAAGAACAAAAUCAUCUAGAAAUAAUCUGAAGAGGUCAUCAAGCCUUGCUGUUUUUGCCAGUACAAAAUCAACUGUCAGUGGCAUUACAGAGACAAGAGAUGGUACAGUCUUACAGUGCUGUAGACAUCUACAAAACAGACAUUUAGACUUGAAUUGACUUUCUAGAGUCCUUCACAGCCCCUGAAGGAAAACAGGUACUUUUGCUGUGGAAUUUGUCUCCUUCCAAUGUACAGUGGGAAUGGGUCAAAUGAAUGACAUGCUGGAAAUGCCUGUUUCUCUCCUGAGGGAUUCAGUCUCAGAUGUACAUCCAAGGAAAGCUGCUCUUUGCCAACUCUAUUAUCAUUUGGUACAGCCAUUCUACUAAAGACUUUAAAAAAUAGCUAAGACAAAGAGUGAUUAUCACAUGGGUUACUUCCAAGUGAUUUCACGUUCAGGAAUGGACCUUUCUUUAAUAGCACAAAAUAACGGAAAGGAUUGGUCACUCUCUCUUUUGGAAAUCUGAGAUUAUUUUCACUUCUCAUCCAUGCAGCUGGAAGGUCAGGAAGCAAUCUUUAAAUAUUAAGAUUUGAGCACAAAUCGAGCCAACUUAUGACACUUAUUUUGGGACCUUGUUAUAGAAUUGCAGUUAUUUUUAAAAUGUAACUUUAAAAUGUUUUUCAGUAAGCCAGAAUUAUUUAUAAGAGUAAAUAUGCAUCAAAAGUGUGGUAUAAAUUUGAGCUGCUAUACAUUAUUUCUGUUUUGGCUAUAUGCUCCCCAUUAUGGUGCCUGCCUUCUGUUUCAGUUCUCAAGUGAGAAAGUCAGUACACAACUCUAGAUCUAGUUAUUUCUGUUACAAACACAUGGAAAAAGAAUUUGUGUGCUAUUUUAAAAUCUGAACCUAAGU
Long non-coding RNA from Passer domesticus (house sparrow), 5829 nucleotides. RefSeq lists it as uncharacterized. The record is from RefSeq and is a predicted model, not a curated record. The transcript has 10 exons. Lineage: Eukaryota; Metazoa; Chordata; Aves; Passeriformes; Passeridae.